GGCUGUCUCUGCACCAACGUGACGCUUCGCCUGGUACCUGCGUGUUUCUGUUUGUCAGUUGUGCGGCACUACGUUUGAGUUCUGACUUCUGUUUUAACAGGCUGGUAAUACUGACUUUUUUUUUCCCCCCCUUAAGAAAACUUAUGACGUCGCUUACUAGACCGCUGAAGACGACCUUCACGUUUGCAGUGCCCUGGGACGGCAGGCUGAGGUAGCGGCCUCGGCAGCGCCCAGCUCAGGUUAUUGAUACUAUAGCUGGGUGCGCGUACUCCACGCGGACAGACCUGCAGGCACAGGCAGAGUCACGUCGCCCCUGAGGACGUUGUGCGAAGGACCAACCUGCCACGCUCUGCUUUAAUAAAGGUGAAAGGUCAAAGGGAGAAACAGAAGACCGAAAACCUUACAGUCUCUUCUGUAAAUUACAAAGAGUUUCAAAGGGCAAGACUGUACCACUGAUAUAUUGGUGUGAGUAUGGUGGUUGCAGUUUUGAAGCUGAUGAAACAUCUAAAUGCCUUUUUCUGUCAUCCUUCUGAAUCAAGAUAAAUGUUUUCAAUCAAUUUCUACUAACAGCUAUUUUUAUCUAUUCAUUGAGUGGUGAAGAUUGAUGAUAUGUGCUUAGAAAAAUAAGUGAGUUCUGUUUAAAUGAUGAAAACUGUAAUGCCAAAGCCCAUGGAAGAAGCAUAACUUCAUUUACAUUCUUAAUUUGUUCUUUGCUGUUUUCUUUUUUAACUUUACUGCAUCCAUUUUGUGUCUAAACUACACGCUGA
This 767-nucleotide long non-coding RNA is filed under the name Apteryx owenii (little spotted kiwi). RNAcentral describes it as "lncRNA (ENSAOWG00000004525.1)". Lineage: Eukaryota; Metazoa; Chordata; Aves; Apterygiformes; Apterygidae. The record is from RNAcentral.